GCUUCCUUCAGCCACAUCUUCCAAUUCUGCUUGUCUAGCAAUGUUUAGAAAAACUUCUUCAAGAGUUGUAAGCCCCAGCUGGAUAUCUGAUAUGCCAAAUUCCAUAUCUCUAGCUUGUAGCUCAGCAAAAAAGUCCUGAUUGAAGGUAAAAGCCAGUGAUCACCAAAUGAGCUAAAAGUCCAAAACUCGUGUGCAUGUAAUUCCACAAUAUAGUAGCAAGACCAGAAAUGAUUUUAAACCAAUCUAAUCUCAUAGUUGCUUUAAAGAUUUUUACCGUCAACAACUUCUCCUUGUCAUGGGGAAUAAUAUAGGUUAGGAAGGAUUUAUUUUCCUCUUUAGGCAUCACGUCCAGACGCUGUGUACAAAGCUAGCAAAUCAGAACCAGUUCCUCUAAUAGUUUCAGAAAAGAAAGGGAAAAAGCAAUAGGCAUCUUUGACAUACACUUUUAAAGAACUGUUUCAAUGCUUCAGGUUGAGAUGUACUCAAACUAUCUUCCCUUUCAGGAGACCCAUUUGUCCCACCAGAAAAGCUUACGUUAGCAAUGAAACCAGUUCCAAACUUCGAUUUCAAUCUUAUUGAAGUUCCGAUGCAACGAAGUCUACCCUUUGCCAUGAUGCCAAUGCGGUCACUUAAGAUGUCAGCUUCUUCCAUUGAAUGAGUAUAAUUUUGUAAUAUAUUGAUAAAUUAGUGUUAACCAAAACGAAGCUAUAAGAUACAAAGAAUCUGCCUGGAAACAAAAUGUUCUGGUGACACACAAAUACUCCAAAUAGCAAACACAUUUACAGCAAUUCACCUAUACACAAAAAUAGUUUAAAGCCUUUUUUUACUGUGACUAUUAAGUUCUAUAUCUAUCAUGAAGUUGCACCCGUGAUCUGUGCAGGGUCGAUCACAAUUCCAUGAUUUUGUUUCUGUCGUCCUAAAAUGUUUCUACCAGAAGUGGCUGUUGGAGGAUCUCUUAGUUGAAUAUGAGCUGGUAUUGGCAUGUCUUGUGAGUGACCCGAAAUGCAGAGUGUACCAGAAUCAUCUUGUUCCCAAUACACUUCUACCAUAGUACCGAUAGGAUUCUCAGCAGAUUCUGUUCCUGGGAUUUUCACAAAUCUUGCUCCUACAGGUAUCUGAAUAGUCACAUAAAUGAAACAGCGUUACUUAUUUCACAGAGAUUAGAGUUUUCGCAUGCAAUCUCAUCAAGAAAAUUAGGAAAUCGAGAAUCUGAUAAUCUACUUACUUGAAGUGAGAGCCCCGUAUUCAAAGUAAGAGUUGCAGAGCUUCCUUCAGCCACAUCUUCCAAUUCUGCUUGUCUAGCAAUGUUUAGAAAAACUUCUUCAAGAGUUGUAAGCCCCAGCUGGAUAUCUGAUAUGCCAAAUUCCAUAUCUCUAGCUUGUAGCUCAGCAAAAAAGUCCUGAUUGAAGGUAAAAGCCAGUGAUCACCAAAUGAGCUAAAAGUCCAAAACUCGUGUGCAUGUAAUUCCACAAUAUAGUAGCAAGACCAGAAAUGAUUUUAAACCAAUCUAAUCUCAUAGUUGCUUUAAAGAUUUUUACCGUCAACAACUUCUCCU
This 1555-nucleotide long non-coding RNA is filed under the name Capsicum annuum. RNAcentral describes it as "long non-coding RNA (CANN_LNC004116)". The record is from RNAcentral. Lineage: Eukaryota; Viridiplantae; Streptophyta; Magnoliopsida; Solanales; Solanaceae.